This 835-nucleotide long non-coding RNA is filed under the name Homo sapiens (human). Its description in RNAcentral is "long non-coding RNA NONHSAT186178.1". The record is from RNAcentral. Lineage: Eukaryota; Metazoa; Chordata; Mammalia; Primates; Hominidae.
UUUUGCACAGUAAUAAGUUGACUCACACAGACUUAAAGCCUGAAAACAUCUUAUUUGUGCAGUCUGACUACACAGAGGCGUAUAAUCCCAAAAUAAAACGUGAUGAACGCACCUUAAUAAAUCCAGAUAUUAAAGUUGUAGACUUUGGUAGUGCAACAUAUGAUGACGAACAUCACAGUACAUUGGUAUCUACAAGACAUUAUAGAGCACCUGAAGUUAUUUUAGGUGAGGUGGUCCCAACCAUGUGAUGUCUGGAGCAUAGGAUGCAUUCUUAUUGAAUACUAUCUUGGGUUUACCGUAUUUCCAACACACGAUAGUAAGGAGCAUUUAGCAAUGAUGGAAAGGAUUCUUGGACCUCUACCAAAACAUAUGAUACAGAAAACCAGGAAACGUAAAUAUUUUCACCACGAUCGAUUAGACUGGGAUGAACACAGUUCUGCCGGCAGAUAUGUUUCAAGACGCUGUAAACCUCUGAAGGAAUUUAUGCUUUCUCAAGAUGUUGAACAUGAGCGUCUCUUUGACCUCAUUCAGAAAAUGUUGGAGUAUGAUCCAGCCAAAAGAAUUACUCUCAGAGAAGCCUUAAAGCAUCCUUUCUUUGACCUUCUGAAGAAAAGUAUAUAGAUCUGUAAUUGGACAGCUCUCUCGAAGAGAUCUUACAGACUGUAUCAGUCUAAUUUUUAAAUUUUAAGUUAUUUUGUACAGCUUUGUAAAUUCUUAACAUUUUUAUAUUGCCAUGUUUAUUUUGUUUGGGUAAUUUGGUUCAUUAAGUACAUAGCUAAGGUAAUGAACAUCUUUUUCAGUAAUUGUAAAGUGAUUUAUUCAGAAUAAAUUUUUU